AGAGUUUGAUCAUGGCUCAGAUUGAACGCUGGCGGCAGGCCUAACACAUGCAAGUCGAGCGGUAGCACAGAGAGCUUGCUCUCGGGUGACGAGCGGCGGACGGGUGAGUAAUGUCUGGGAAACUGCCUGAUGGAGGGGGAUAACUACUGGAAACGGUAGCUAAUACCGCAUAACGUCGCAAGACCAAAGUGGGGGACCUUCGGGCCUCAUGCCAUCAGAUGUGCCCAGAUGGGAUUAGCUGGUAGGUGGGGUAACGGCUCACCUAGGCGACGAUCCCUAGCUGGUCUGAGAGGAUGACCAGCCACACUGGAACUGAGACACGGUCCAGACUCCUACGGGAGGCAGCAGUGGGGAAUAUUGCACAAUGGGCGCAAGCCUGAUGCAGCCAUGCCGCGUGUGUGAAGAAGGCCUUCGGGUUGUAAAGCACUUUCAGCGGGGAGGAAGGCGGUGAGGUUAAUAACCUCAUCGAUUGACGUUACCCGCAGAAGAAGCACCGGCUAACUCCGUGCCAGCAGCCGCGGUAAUACGGAGGGUGCAAGCGUUAAUCGGAAUUACUGGGCGUAAAGCGCACGCAGGCGGUCUGUCAAGUCGGAUGUGAAAUCCCCGGGCUCAACCUGGGAACUGCAUUCGAAACUGGCAGGCUAGAGUCUUGUAGAGGGGGGUAGAAUUCCAGGUGUAGCGGUGAAAUGCGUAGAGAUCUGGAGGAAUACCGGUGGCGAAGGCGGCCCCCUGGACAAAGACUGACGCUCAGGUGCGAAAGCGUGGGGAGCAAACAGGAUUAGAUACCCUGGUAGUCCACGCUGUAAACGAUGUCGAUUUGGAGGUUGUGCCCUUGAGGCGUGGCUUCCGGAGCUAACGCGUUAAAUCGACCGCCUGGGGAGUACGGCCGCAAGGUUAAAACUCAAAUGAAUUGACGGGGGCCCGCACAAGCGGUGGAGCAUGUGGUUUAAUUCGAUGCAACGCGAAGAACCUUACCUGGUCUUGACAUCCACAGAACUUUCCAGAGAUGGAUUGGUGCCUUCGGGAACUGUGAGACAGGUGCUGCAUGGCUGUCGUNNNNNNNNNNNNNGAAAUGUUGGGUUAAGUCCCGCAACGAGCGCAACCCUUAUCCUUUGUUGCCAGCGGUCCGGCCGGGAACUCAAAGGAGACUGCCAGUGAUAAACUGGAGGAAGGUGGGGAUGACGUCAAGUCAUCAUGGCCCUUACGACCAGGGCUACACACGUGCUACAAUGGCAUAUACAAAGAGAAGCGACCUCGCGAGAGCAAGCGGACCUCAUAAAGUAUGUCGUAGUCCGGAUUGGAGUCUGCAACUCGACUCCAUGAAGUCGGAAUCGCUAGUAAUCGUAGAUCAGAAUGCUACGGUGAAUACGUUCCCGGGCCUUGUACACACCGCCCGUCACACCAUGGGAGUGGGUUGCAAAAGAAGUAGGUAGCUUAACCUUCGGGAGGGCGCUUACCACUUUGUGAUUCAUGACUGGGGUGAAGUCGUAACAAGGUAACCGUAGGGGAACCUGCGGUUG
RNAcentral lists this ribosomal RNA (1520 nucleotides) under Heliconius elevatus. Its description in RNAcentral is "bacterial SSU rRNA". It matches the Rfam family "Bacterial small subunit ribosomal RNA". The record is from RNAcentral. Lineage: Eukaryota; Metazoa; Arthropoda; Insecta; Lepidoptera; Nymphalidae.